RNAcentral lists this ribosomal RNA (468 nucleotides) under uncultured bacterium. RNAcentral describes it as "partial 16S ribosomal RNA". It matches the Rfam family "Bacterial small subunit ribosomal RNA", at positions 28 to 507 of the family's 1533-position model. The record is from RNAcentral.
GACGAACGCUGGCGGCGUGCCUAAUACAUGCAAGUCGAACGGAAAGGCCCGGCGCUUGCGGGUUGCUCGAUUGGCGAACGGGUGAGUAACACGCGAGUAACCCGUCCCUGACUUUGGGAUAACUUUAGGAAACUGGGGCUAAUAUCGGAUAGGAGCUCCUGCUGCAUGGUGGGGGAUGGAAAGAUUCGGCGGUUGGAGAUGGACUCGCUGGUUAUCAGCUUGAUGGUCGGGUAGUGGCUUACAAAGGCUUUGACGGAUAGCCCGCCUUGGAGGGUUACCGGGCUCAUUAGGCCUGAGGUACGCACCAGUAUGCUACGGGCGGCAGCAGUGGGGAGUAUUGCACAGUGGGGGGGAGCCUGAUAUGGAGGCGCCGGGUGCGGAAUGCCGGCCUUCGGGUUGUAAACAGCUUUCGACUGUGACAAGGCGUGAGUGACGGUAAUGGGUAAGAAAGCAACGGCUAACUACGUG